CCUACGGGAGGCAGCAGUGGGGAAUAUUGGACAAUGGGGGCAACCCUGAUCCAGCCAUGCCGCGUGUGUGAAGAAGGCCCUCGGGUUGUAAAGCACUUUCAGUGAGGAAGAACGCCUGGUGGUUAAUACCCAUCAGGAAAGACAUCACUCACAGAAGAAGCACCGGCUAACUCCGUGCCAGCAGCCGCGGUAAUACGGAGGGUGCGAGCGUUAAUCGGAAUUACUGGGCGUAAAGCGCGCGUAGGUGGCUUGAUAAGCCGGUUGUGAAAGCCCCGGGCUCAACCUGGGAACGGCAUCCGGAACUGUCAAGCUAGAGUGCAGGAGAGGAAGGUAGAAUUCCCGGUGUAGCGGUGAAAUGCGUAGAGAUCGGGAGGAAUACCAGUGGCGAAGGCGGCCUUCUGGACUGACACUGACACUGAGGUGCGAAAGCGUGGGUAGCAAACAGGAUUAGAUACCUAGUAGUC
This 464-nucleotide ribosomal RNA is filed under the name Vreelandella stevensii. RNAcentral's name for it is "partial 16S ribosomal RNA". It matches the Rfam family "Bacterial small subunit ribosomal RNA", at positions 338 to 795 of the family's 1533-position model. Lineage: Bacteria; Pseudomonadati; Pseudomonadota; Gammaproteobacteria; Oceanospirillales; Halomonadaceae. The record is from RNAcentral.